Molecule: non-coding RNA, 101 nt
Organism: Populus trichocarpa (black cottonwood)
Lineage: Eukaryota; Viridiplantae; Streptophyta; Magnoliopsida; Malpighiales; Salicaceae
Source: Rfam
AAGAGUGCAGUGAUGAAGCAAAUUGUUUGUGGACUAGAGUUUCUGAUCUGGGUUCUUCUCCCAGAACUUGAUUACUAACCCUUGGCUGUCUGAGCACCUUU